AAAUGAUCCAUGGUUCCCAAGCUCGGCCAGUCAAAGAAAGGUUUCGACCAGUGCCUUUGUGUUCUCCCAUAUUACUACCCACGCCACAUGCCCUGGCAUUACGUACAAUCUUACAGUUAGGUGUGAAGCCAUCAUGGUUUAAUACAUGGAGUACAACCACAGAUGACGCGAACCACCAAGUUCCUGGAACUCCGACAUCUGGAGAUCUUCGUAACCACAUGAUUGAAUCACCCCGCAUUGGUGAUAGUGUAGUGCCUGAGAUGCUUCUCAAAGUACUGGAGCCUUAUCGCAGAGAGGG
This 298-nucleotide unclassified non-coding RNA is filed under the name Hevea brasiliensis (rubber tree). The record is from RNAcentral. Lineage: Eukaryota; Viridiplantae; Streptophyta; Magnoliopsida; Malpighiales; Euphorbiaceae.